This is a long non-coding RNA of Sander lucioperca (pikeperch), 1250 nucleotides long. RefSeq lists it as uncharacterized. The transcript is spliced from 3 exons. The record is from RefSeq and is a predicted model, not a curated record. NCBI's taxonomy places the organism in Eukaryota, Metazoa, Chordata, Actinopteri, Perciformes, Percidae.
AGAUCGGUGGAUGCUAGAAUGCAACAUGCUUAUGAAAUGAAGCCACAUCCAAUAGAGCCGGGAAUUCUCUUGACAUCAUUAAGGAAACAUUUUUCUCCUGUCCGUCCGGGAAUUCUCUUGACAUUAAGGAAACAUCAUGUCAGAGAGAGGAAAAAAAAAAGUGAGAAGGAGAUAUAAUCAAAAGGAAUUUAACCUGAGUGUUUAAAUUCUUCCUUCUCAUCAGCCUCACCUCAGACUCACAGGCAGCACUGAGAAGGGAAGAAGCAUUUCUUCUGAAUUCAUUUCGCUCCUUACAUUUUUCACGUCAUACAGAUAAACUGCCAAAGCUGUGAAUUCCCAAAAUUGUAAGCGCAGCCAAAUCUUCCUAUCAUGGACUAUAGGGACUAUCAGGGCCGCUGCCUGCUGCUUUUAUUCAUCGCCGUCCUCCUGGAUGCAGUAGGCCUCAUCGUCUUCUUCAUCGGGGUUUUUGCUCCGCUCAGCUUCUGGGAUUUCUUCGUCUUCUUAGGACCCCUCAUCAUCUUCAGCAGCCUGAUGUUCUGGAUUUUGAGUUACUGCCCAAAUGAUAAUUCAUUUGCAACACAAAUUAAGUUUUCACAGUUUUCCAGCCACCGGUGCUGGAAAAUGAAACUAAAGCUACAGGUACAGGGUGAAAAUUCUCAGCUUCUACUCGAUCUCGCUGCAGGAUGUUUGUGUCUUUGCUUCUCCACCAAAAGAAACGUGGAACAGACAAAACAUGGAACUUUAAUCUGAAAGGGCAUCUGUAUAAUGACACUAGAGUUCACAAACUGGGACGGACCGGGACACAGUUUUAAGGAGGGGGCCACAUUUGUAAAAUCACAUUUGAAACCCUGGUUCUUGGAAAACUGUACAUUGAUAAUAGAUACAUUGUUUAUUCAUUAUUCAGUCCAAUAAAUUAAUGUAAAAUAAUAUCAAUAAAUAGCUGCUAUUUGUAACUCCAAAUAGCCUACAAUCAAGCAAUCUUUGUAGUCUUGUGCAUCUCUUUGUAGUUUUUUUACAUUUAUUUGUGCACGUUUUCGCCUCUUUGAAGUCUAGUGCAUCUGUUUUUAGUCGUGUUGCGUCUCAUUGUAGUUGUUUAGCAUUUUUUUGUGGAUGUUUUUCGCCUCGUUGGAGUCUGGUGCAUCUGCUUUUAGUCGUUUUGUGUCUCUAUGUAGUUAUUUUGUAUCUCUUUGUAGUCGUUUUGUGUCUCUUUGUAGUUAUUUUAUAUCUCAUAGUCUCAUAGUGGUGGGUGG